UGGAAUAACUGGGUCACGUUAUCGAUAGGAGGAUUUGAGGCAGGUAGUCACAGUGUGCGAUGGUGUCAUGUGGCUGAUGGUUAUAUGCAGCAUGGGAGAAUGCAGGAGUGUUGUAUGGCUGAUGUCCCCCUGUGCAGUAGGUAUGGUUCCAAAGGGCGACUGACAGUAUAUUCUGAUUCUCAGGUUGCUUGGUGGUUGAAUGAGAUCAACGGUCUUGCCAACUUUAUUGUAAGAACUGCAUUAAAGGCUGUAGGCUCAGUCCACAAGCUCGUCGCCCUCCACAGAAAUAAAGCUAGCAACAUGAGGCAGGGGACUGAGUGGCUGCGUGCAUCGUUGGAACAACGGCAGGUGCUGUUCCAGCCGCGCUGACUACAGAUGGAUUUGAUGAUUCAGACUGCCCCUUGUCCACCAACAAAAGCCUGCCGGGGAGGGUUGGACACAUCAUGCCUUUUGCUUUGCCCGGGUUAGCCCCUUUGUUCAGCUGAGUUAGAGGAGGAAAUGCGACAAAAUGUGAGGCGGGGAGAUAUUUUGGGGUUCUUUGCUAAAGGAGGGAGAAGAAUUGCUGAUCUUACGAGGAAACUUUGCUCUUUGAAGAUUUUAAUGCUAAUUUUGCAAAUUUGGAAAUCUUAGCUGGUUAGGCAAAAUUUCAACGGAAGUCCAAAGUUCUGGCACAGAACUGAAUCCCAGCCAGCCAGGCCUCAUGAUCUCCCUGCACGGUUUCAUGCAGCACAGUUCUCCAGGGCCUAGGAAGCUACUGGAGAGGUGAUGUGUUCACCAGAAACAAGCGACCAGGGACUAAAAGAACACACUGACCUCUGAGGUUCCUCAUCUUCUAGACUUUCCCACACGAUGUCCAACAAUCCCCAUUCUGCAAGAGGACUGCCAGGCCAGGUUAACCAGCAUCCCUAUUCCCUAAUGUUGCUUUUGCUUGUUUUCUGUCUGCUGGGUACCACUCAUCUCUCCUUGUAUGUUUGGAACUGAGCUGAGUUUUAUGCUGAAGCCCUAACGCAAUAGUUUCUGAAUAAAAUCUGUUUAUAUCCCCU
This is a non-coding RNA of Rattus norvegicus (Norway rat), 1043 nucleotides long. The record is from RefSeq and is a predicted model, not a curated record. Lineage: Eukaryota; Metazoa; Chordata; Mammalia; Rodentia; Muridae.